This 207-nucleotide ribosomal RNA is filed under the name uncultured Syntrophus sp. Its description in RNAcentral is "partial 16S ribosomal RNA". It matches the Rfam family "Bacterial small subunit ribosomal RNA", at positions 568 to 774 of the family's 1533-position model. The record is from RNAcentral. Lineage: Bacteria; Pseudomonadati; Thermodesulfobacteriota; Syntrophia; Syntrophales; Syntrophaceae.
CGUGUAGGCGGCUGAGCAAGUCAGAUGUGAAAUCCCUGGGCUUAACCCAGGAAGUGCAUUUGAAACUGUUCAGCUUGAGUAAGGAAGAGGGAAGUGGAAUUCCUGGUGUAGAGGUGAAAUUCGUAGAUAUCAGGAGGAACACCGGUGGCGAAGGCGACUUCCUGGUCCUAUACUGACGCUGAGACGCGAGAGCGUGGGGAGCAAACA